Molecule: transfer RNA, 72 nt
Filed under: Bos taurus (domestic cattle)
Lineage: Eukaryota; Metazoa; Chordata; Mammalia; Artiodactyla; Bovidae
Also listed under: 3 other names
Rfam family: tRNA
About the family: Transfer RNA (tRNA) molecules are approximately 80 nucleotides in length.
Source: Rfam by way of RNAcentral
UCCCUGGUGGCUCAGACAGUAAAGAACUUGCCUGUAAUGCAGGAGACCUAGGUUCGAUCCCUGGGUCGGGAA